ACAGUCUAUUGGACUAGCUUUCAACAGUAACACCAGGUAGCAGAAAGAAGAAAUGGCAAAACUAGCUCUCUUUCUGUUCCAUUGUGGAAGACAGAAAGAACCUCUUUUCUACUAGGAAAAGCCAGGGAUUUUGGAGAAUUCAGGGCAAAGGAGGAGAAGAAGGAAGAUGCUGAACUUCCUACUAAAAAUACAGCAUAAAGACAUAGAGUUGACAGUUGACACUUUGGCAGGAGCCGAAAGAUCAAAGAAGAGGACUGCAGAGAGAUGAAGACAGCAGUAAUUUGUUCUAGAUCUCUGCUCCCUGAAAGCACCUUAAAGUUCUUGUAAGCUUAAUUUUAACUUAAGCACUGAUUCCUCUUCUCUUAUAUAUUUUACAUUUGUGUUUCCACUUUGAGUUUUAAUUUAGUAUUUUCAAAAUUUCCACAAAAUAAGUAGAGAUGAUACAAAGCAGUUUUUAUACUUUGUAAAACCAUGUUGUAGCAGGGUUCAACAGUUUUUUAGAUAGUAUAAAAAAAUUCUUAGGAUUAAAUUUUUCUUCUCCUAACUUCUUUUGAGGCCGAUGAAAACAAGCAUUUUUGAAACUGAAUAUAAUUUUAUUAAACCUUAAAUCUGAAAUGAGUAUUAAAAUCAGGAAUUCUUAUUACAUUUUAGUUUUUAGCUCCUUCUCUAACAUAAAUGGAAUAAAUAUGAAUAUGUUUUAUAUUUUUAGCCUCAUUGUUUUUCUGUUUUCUUCUAUUCUCAUUCUUCAUUUUGAUUAGCCAAUUCUAAUCAUCCUCGUAAGCACAACUCAAGUCUUUUCUCUUCCAGGAGGUCUUCUAAGAAUAUUCCAGGGUAAAUCUCCCUGUCUCUAAAACUCAUCAAACACGGGAUCAUGAGUUCCUUUGUGAUAAUUUUGUUUUGUUGCCUUAUUAUUCAGCAUUCCACAUAUUUUCCCUUCAACUAGAUUGCAAAUUCCCUGAAAUCAGGGACUAGGGCCGUAUAACUGGGAAUUUUAGAAUCGCAGACUCUCAAGCUAGAUCGCCUUGGGUGAAUCCCUGCUCCCUCACUACUUCCCUGUGGGCUUAUGGCGACUUCUCUAAGUAGUUUCCUCUUCUGCCUAAAAAUACUCUAAAAUAAAUGUCACUAUUUUUCCAAUAAUAAUAGGUAUCUUUUACAUAGCACUUUAGCAUAAUUUAUUAGAUUUAAUCCUGAUAAUAUUCUAUUAAAUAUAUGUUAUUAUUCUCACUUUAUAGAUGAAGAUCCUUUUGCUCAAAGAAGCCAAGAGCUUGCAUGAGAUGAUAGUUAAGAGGUGGAACCAAGGCUUGAAUCCAAGGCCUUUCAUCCAUACCAAAGUACUUUGCUUACUGACUGUACUGUAUUAGGUCAUUGAUGAAUUGUCUCGUGCUUGAAAUCUUUUCUUACAUGGGCUUUCUUAGCUGUAGACCCCUGUUAAUUUCCUUCAGUUUCUGUCUGUUUAUUUCCCUGCAAAAUUCCCCUCUUUCCACCUCAAGAAUUUUAAGAACAGGAGAGGGUUACUUGUGUAUCAGUGAUCAUUUCACUAUGUCUAAUCAAACUCUGAAAUUAACUGGAAAUUUCCUGCUUGACUUGCAGAGUCGCUCUCUGUACAUUUUGUGCUUUCCAGCCUCAUCUUCUCUUGACCACCUUUCUGUGACUGCGUCUUUCAUUCACGUUCACUGCUUCAUCGCUUACUUCCUUUCUUCCCCUAAAGCCAUUACAUCUGUCCUUCCUUACAAAAUAUGUUUCUUGUUGGUUGAGUCUGUUUUUAAUUCAAGCCUUCAGUCAUCCUUCAUUGCCUGGGGUACUUACAGCUUGUCUGAAAGCCCAUUUGUAAUUUUACCCCUUUACUUCAGAUGUCUCUUUCUUUUCUCCUUUUAAGAUUCUUGUUCUAUUGAUUUUCUUAUAGUGUUAUCCCUUUAUCUAUUGCUUGUUCAAGCUUUACUAUUUUUCUGUGCUCACUAUAACUGAAUGAGUUGAAAUUUAUCUGUUAAUAAUCACACGUAAGUUGUUAACGAGUUCACUCUGUAAUUUAACUAUAUGUGGAUUGAAAAGAAAAACCUACCUCUGCUUCUUUUUAUGAAUCUAAAUUUAAAAACUAGGAUUUUAUUUUGUUUUACAGAUGAUGGAAUUUCAGGAGUAGGUAAAGUUUAGGUAAGAUAAAAAUUUCUAUGAAAACUCAAGUGGACCAUAAUCCUACCUAAGAUAAAUAAGCAAAUUUUGGCAUAAAUAUGUGUCUCAGUGUCUAUAAAAGACUUGAGCCUCUCUCUCUGUAUUGCUGUAGGGAACUCAUGAUCCUGACUGUCUUUCUAUCUUGAUUGUUUUUUUUUCUCAUAGCAGCCUUCACAGUGGCUGUUAAAAUUCAAGGUGACUCAAUCUCUUGGGCUUUCUCUCUCCAGGUUUAGCUAUCAAGCCUAUAGCCUAAAAAGCAAAACUGAUAUUCUUACAUUUAAAACCAAUGUCAUAUUUCAGGUUCCCAAUAAUAAUAUAGAUUAUGCAUCAUCUUUGGGAAGACACAAGACUAAUCAGUAACACUGAAUCCUACCAAAGUUUAAGAAUGUCAUAAUAGAGGCUCCACUAAAUUGACCCACCCCUUGAUUUUAAGGGAUCCUAAUUUGACAACUGUUGUGGUCUUGUGUUUAAUAGAACUCUAUUAUGCUCGUAAAUUAGCUCAAGAAAAUCAAACAUAUCUGGAAUUUGGAUCUCUGUCUCAAGAACUGCCUUAUUCUUCAUUCUCUCAAGGUAUCAUUCAGUCAAGGGUAUCUGAAGUUUCAUGACAGUCUCUUGCUAUGAGAUAAAUUCUAGCCCUGGGCUAAACAUAUAGGGAGACGUAGGCUCACAGACUCCUUCACUCAGUAAUAAAUCCCAUUUUUACUGUUGAUUACCCUACUUAUUGCUCAAGUACUUCUAAUGAGUACCUGAGUCCUUCCUGCUAAGCACUUUGGUUUGAGUCUCUGCUCUUGUGUUGCCCAGAAUCUCUGAUCUUUGGUCUCAGUCUUCUAGCAUGGCUUCCAGUCCUCCCAGAUGCCUGAUCUACCUGAUUUCUACUCAAGGUCUAAGGUACUUGCCAAUUCCAGCCUAUCUCUGUUGAUUUUCUUAACUUGUAUCUUUGCCUACUUAGAUUUUCUUUAGUCACAGCUUUAAAAUUUUGUUUCUUACAGCCAAGUGACUCAUUCUGCCCCUGUUGCCUCUAUCCUUUUUUGUUUCAAUCUAAGCUCAGGUGAAAUACCCUGGCCAGUCAUUCUACAACUUGCACAUUAUGUGUGAAGGAAGUAAUAUUGUCUUUCUCAAUGCACCGCCUUUGUAAUUUAAUCAAAUAUAACACUGAAAUCAAAAGAAUGAUGAAUACGCACGUCAAUGUACUUGUUGAAUGAAUUCAUAUGUUAAAUUAUCUACAAUUAUGAAAUGGUAAUAUAACUAUUAAAGUUUUCAUUCAAUAAAUAAAUCAGAAUGGUUUAAAUAGCCUCACUCUACUAUUACCUCAGGAUUUCAGCACAUCUUGCUAAAGAUGAUUUAUUUUUAGUUAUAGUUAAAAAGGGCAAGCUAUAAUUUCCAGUACGAUAAUGAAAAAAUUGCUUCUCUUAAAAUAUAAAAUCUAAUACCUUGGCAGAGACUUAUUUAUGCGUAUGAAUGAAUCAGCAUGGGAAAUAAUACAAAGGAGAAUUUUAAUAAAUGUUCAUUGAAUAGAUGAAAAAAUGGUCCAACUAACCAUACUAUUUAUUUUUCAUGACAUAUUUUGGACCUAAUUAUUUUAUUUACUCACAUAUGUCUGUUUUCUUCCCUCAAAAGUUAUGAUGGAGCUAAAUUAUAGGCCAGUUGAUAACAAAGAGAUUUUAAAAACUCCUAUCUGAUUGGAAUGUCAUGUGGAGAAUUUAACUUCCUAGAAUAUGUCCAAGGAAGUUUUUCAAGUGAAUAUGUUUGCUGCUUUUUUCUGUAUCUAGCAAUUAAAUUCACAUAUGUAUUAUUUGAUAUCAGACAUAAACAUCAAUUCAUUGCCAUUAUAAAGCUUGUAAACAGGGUACAAAAAUGCUUAUCUAUACUGAGACUUUUAAUCAGACAUACGUGCUAGAGUGGGAUCUUAGUAUUUGACAUGAAUGUCCAUGGAAAUUAGCUGGUGCAAUAUCAUGUGUUAGAUAUGAUAAUGUUUAGUUGCCAGUAACAGAAACCCAAAAUAACAAUGGUUUAAAUAAGAGGGCAAUUUAUUUACAUCUUAGAUAAAAUUCCAAAUGGACAGUGCAGUGCUGCAGGGGAGAUCUGUCCUACACAGUCGGCAGGAACCAUAUUCCUCCUUUGUCGUUCUUCAAUGCAUAGAUUUCUAUUCCCAAGGUCUACUCAUGGUCCAAAUUGGCUGCUCCACCCACAUUCUAGAAAGCAGGAAGGGAAAAAUGGAACAAGAAAGGAAGAAAAUGUGUGGGCCAGUUAUUUUAAAGAAAAAAAUGUUGUGCUUACAUUUUAUUGGCUAGAAUUCAGUCAUAUGCCACAUCAAGCUACAAUGGAGACUAGGAAAUGUAGUUCAUAUUCUUGGCAUCCAUGAGACCAACCGAAAUGUCAGAAGUUUUUUAAUUAUGGAAGAGGAGGACUGCUGAAGGGCCACUUCUUCACUGCCAUAUGUGAAUUCUUUUGAUUAAGGAAGCUCUGAAAGCAAAGAUUGAAAUAUGUAAUUACUUUGAUUAGUCAUUGGAGAAUACUGCAAGGUAGUCAAUGUAAAUUUUUAAUGUAAAAAUCACAAUGUGUUUCCAUAGUGUAACUACCAUGUAUCUUGUCAACUUUACAAUUGAAAUACACUUGGAAUAAAGCACAGAAAAAAUAAGUGAAUAAUAAAAGUCAAACAUUAGUCAUAACUUCUAAUUGUCUAUUUACCAAACCAUGUUAGGUAUAAAGGACAUGGAUUGCUAAAAAUUAUCUGAAAUUAAAAUAAGCCUCCUUAGUAAAGUGGAAUUUCAGUAUAAAAUUACCUACAUUAUUGCUUUGAGUGUGGGGAAAAAAAAGGAGAACAGGACACCUGAUGGAAACAAAUCAGGUGAACUAGAAGUCCUGAUGAGCAUCAUCUGGCAGAAGGUUGGGCUAGUUGCUCUAGCAUUGAAGAGAAUUAGGAAGACAAACAAAAAUGAGGAAGAAAUGUCUGGAAAUUUAAGCUUUAUGUAAGUUUAAAGAGAAUAUCAAUUCAAGAAUGUUCCAAUUUUGGUGAUCUCUUACUUCAUUAUUUGUAUCACUUGUUUUGCACAGUUUUCUCCCUUUUUUGCACCUGCAUUUGCAAGAUAUGAAAAAUGUGCUCCAUAACGUCCCACCCCCCUCCCCACUCCCCAGAAACACUCUGCUCAAUUUGUACUUUACUUUGUGAAAGGAAGCUUAGG
RNAcentral lists this long non-coding RNA (5348 nucleotides) under Equus caballus (horse). RNAcentral describes it as "lncRNA (ENSECAG00000051848.1)". Lineage: Eukaryota; Metazoa; Chordata; Mammalia; Perissodactyla; Equidae. The record is from RNAcentral.